AAAUUGAAGAGUUUGAUCAUGGCUCAGAUUGAACGCUGGCGGCAGGCCUAACACAUGCAAGUCGAACGGUAACAGGAAGCAGCUUGCUGCUUCGCUGACGAGUGGCGGACGGGUGAGUAAUGUCUGGGAAACUGCCUGAUGGAGGGGGAUAACUACUGGAAACGGUGGCUAAUACCGCAUGACGUCGCAAGACCAAAGAGGGGGACCUUCGGGCCUCUUGCCAUCAGAUGUGCCCAGAUGGGAUUAGCU
Molecule: ribosomal RNA, 249 nt
Filed under: Salmonella enterica
Lineage: Bacteria; Pseudomonadati; Pseudomonadota; Gammaproteobacteria; Enterobacterales; Enterobacteriaceae
Description: partial 16S ribosomal RNA
Rfam family: Bacterial small subunit ribosomal RNA
Source: RNAcentral